Molecule: ribosomal RNA, 253 nt
Filed under: uncultured bacterium
Lineage: Bacteria
Description: partial 16S ribosomal RNA
Rfam family: Bacterial small subunit ribosomal RNA
Source: RNAcentral
UACGGAAGGUCCAGGCGUUAUCCGGAUUUAUUGGGUUUAAAGGGAGCGUAGGCCGCCUAGUAAGCGGGCAGUGAAAUGCAGAGGCUCAACCUCUGACUUGCUGUUCGAACUGCAGGGCUUGAGUACGCACGAGGUAGGCGGAAUUUGUGGUGUAGCGGUGAAAUGCUUAGAUAUCACAAAGAACUCCAAUUGCGAAGGCAGCUUACCGGAGCGCAACUGACGCUGAAGCUCGAAAGUGCGGGUAUCGAACAGG